RNAcentral lists this ribosomal RNA (474 nucleotides) under uncultured bacterium. RNAcentral describes it as "partial 16S ribosomal RNA". It matches the Rfam family "Bacterial small subunit ribosomal RNA", at positions 28 to 507 of the family's 1533-position model. The record is from RNAcentral.
GAUGAACGCUAGCGGCAGGCCUAACACAUGCAAGUCGAGGGAGGAGCUUUCGGGCUUCGACCGGCGUACGGGUGCGUAACGCGUAUACAAUCUGCCUUUCACAUAGGGAUAGCCCGAAGAAAUUUGGAUUAAUACCUAAUGGUAUAUAGAGGUGGCAUCACCUUUAUAUUAAAGCUGAGGCGGUGAAAGAUGAGUAUGCGUUCUAUUAGCUAGUUGGAGAGGUAACGGCUCCCCAAGGCGACGAUAGAUAGGGGUUCUGAGAGGGAUAUCCCCCACACUGGUACUGAGAUACGGACCAGACUCCUACGGGAGGAAGCAGUGAGGAAUAGUGGACAAUGGUCGGAAGACUGAUCCAGCCAUGCCGCGUGCAGGAAGACGGCCUUAUGGGUUGUAAACUGCUUUUGCAGGGGAAGAAUAAGGACUACGCGUAGUUUGAUGACGGUACUCUGCGAAUAAGCAUCGGCUAACUCCGUG